GCGGGCGGCGCUGGGCAGCUCCGCCGCGCGGCACCUGGCUAGCCCGCUCGCCGCUCGCCUCUCCUCUGCGCGCGCCCGCCCCUCCCCCGCGCCUGGACGCGCGCGCUCCUCCUGCACCCCCCUCCUCGAGAAGGGACCCUGCUGAAUAAUGGAACGGGAUUGAGGCUAGCAAGAGAGGCCACUUUCUUCCUCCCCGCCCACCCCACCUGGAUGAACCCCAAUAAUGCUCUCUGGCACAGCCUGCUGAGAUGCCGCGGCGGCCACCUCUGCACACACCCCUCAGAACGCACACGCACACUGAGAUGUGUACCGGCUUGGGUAUGGAAACAUCCACGUGCCCAUAUGGGCACAGUGUGCGGGCAGGCACACAGGCUCAGACACAUACAUGCAUGCAUGUGCUCACAAACAUGGGCACACCAACUCACUCUCAGGGGAGCAUGUACACAUGCUCACCGGGCAUACAUGCGUGCGCACACACGUUUGAUCACAGGCCAUGAAUGGCCAACAUACACACAGACACCCCUGCCCUCCAAGCUCACCCUCCAAAAUAGGGUCCACAGCAUACAGCGCACCCAGAGCCUUCGAGGUACUCAGGAGUAAGACAUGCCACACACAUACAGCUCCCCACCACCUCCCCAAAAGGCUGCUCCCCUAGCCCCUUGCACAAGCCUCUCCUGGACUCCUCCAAUCUUUCCUCUCCAUUCCCACUGCCCCUCCCCUGGCUCCAACCUCUCUCUCCAUGGUGGGGUCUAGAGGACACCUGCCCACGGAGUGUCCCACUUAGGACAAAACCCUUCCUGGGCCACAAAUGUCAAGCUGAGGAAACCACUUAUCCUUCAGGAUGCCCUCCAAUUGGGAUCUGUCCCCCAAACUUUUGGACGCCUCUGGAAAGCACCUGUGGCCCCAGAGGAGAUACUCAUAAGCCUUAAAGGAACACAAAGUUCACUGCACCCCCAGGAGUAGCCCCCAUGUCACAAAUGGAGAAAUUGAGGUGAAGGCUCCACUGUGUGGGAGUGAAGCAGUGACGACGGGCAGCAGCGCUUCGUGAUCCUGAUUUCUUCCACCCCAGGCAAGAAGUGCCCACCAUGGGUACCACCACCACUCCCCUGGGGACUAAAUGAGCAGCAGGAAGUGACAAACAGGCGCACCUAAGUUCCAGCCGAGCUCUACCAUCAACCCUCUAUGACUUGGGGGAAGGACCCCAGGGAAGAUGAUUCAAGCGAUGCUGAGGAGGCUGCACUCUGCCCACCCACUCCAGCCCAAUCAUCCAAGGGAAACGCCAAAGCUACCCCACAGAGUAGAAGGUUGCCUCUCCACCAUUCCUGCCUCAGCUGCCCUCCCUCUGCAGGGCUCUAACCAGCUGCUGGCCACCAACCGCUAGGGACUGGGAGCUGCUGCUGAACCUGCCCUCUCUGGGGAGGGGCCUCAAACAGAAUGCAAGUUGGCAAGCAAAUGUCCAGCCUGGGAGGAAAAGAACUAAGCGAAGACAGUAGGGAGUGACAUUGUAGCUCAAGGGGACAAACUGCUGCUGGGAUGCUUGGGGAAGAAAGAGGAGCCCAUUCCAGGCAAACCAGCUGUCCAGCAGCCUAGCCUCCUGGGAGCCUCCAAAGCCUCUCCUCUGGGGUGUGGUCCUGCUCUCAGCAGGAAAUAACAGAUUCCCACUUCAUGCCCUGAGGGCAUCAAAGGGGGUGCAGGUUGUUAACAGCCCCCCUCCCUGUGCAACAGUGUGUCUGCGUGAGAUACAAAUACAUGUAAGGCCAUCACCAAAACC
Non-coding RNA from Macaca mulatta (Rhesus monkey), 1771 nucleotides. NCBI's taxonomy places the organism in Eukaryota, Metazoa, Chordata, Mammalia, Primates, Cercopithecidae. The record is from RefSeq and is a predicted model, not a curated record.